UGUGGGAGCGAGCCUGCGCGCGAUGAGUCAGGCACAUUCAGCAUUGAUGUUGGCUGAGCCACCUAUCGCGAGCGGGCUCGCUCCCACA
Molecule: unclassified non-coding RNA, 88 nt
Filed under: Pseudomonas sp. A214
Lineage: Bacteria; Pseudomonadati; Pseudomonadota; Gammaproteobacteria; Pseudomonadales; Pseudomonadaceae
Source: RNAcentral